Molecule: long non-coding RNA, 707 nt
Organism: Symphalangus syndactylus (siamang)
Lineage: Eukaryota; Metazoa; Chordata; Mammalia; Primates; Hylobatidae
Source: RefSeq, a predicted model, not a curated record
CUAAAGAACUGCAAACCUCAGGUCCCAUUUAAGGAGGCUUUAGGAAAACUCAAAAACAAAAUGGGAGAGAAAAACAAGGACACUAGAUAUAAUUUCAGCCCCUGAAACCACGGCUUACGGCAAACAGUAUCCUAACUCCUAGCCAGAUAAAUUAAGACUCCACACUAAAGAUUAUAUGGGGAAGCCAUUAGGAAGUUUUGACUGACCCGAUUUAAGAGAAGCACAUUAGCUCUUUUGUUGGGAAUAGACCCUGGGGGCAAGCAUGGAAUCCCAGCACACAGGUCUUUGGAGUCUAUGCCUGAAAUGACCACACUUAACCAAGAAUAGAUUUUUCCCAAAGAGUGUUUCCAAGAGCCCUUCCUGAAUUUCAAACAAUAAACGUAGUGUUUAUGAAGCACCUAUUGGAAAUCAUGCUGGAAAUAUCCUGUAAAUAAAUCAUCUCUUUUGAUCUUCACAACAGUCCUACAAGGAUAUCACAAAUCAUCUAUUGAGCUUAAAAAAUAAAAAGAAACAUCUACCAAAAGAAAUGAGCCUAAGGAAUAUUUUAGUAGAAAAUAUGAAGACAAGCUAUUAAAAGUAAGAAGUGAGGAAACUGCAUCCAGUCAGCGCAGGUCAUUAAGCUCCAGCGAAAGUUCACUGAAGCAAAGGCACCUAUUGUUGAUCUCACAAAAUAACUGGAGGGUUUUCCAGAGAGAGUGGGGCACAAG